AGGCGGUUACCGUGGCGGUGUAGGUGGAAGCAGCGGUGGAGGAGGAGGUAGCCAACACUGUUUUAUAUAUAUAUAUAUAUAUUUUUUUUUUAUUGGGGUAGCCCCCAAAAUAUUGGGACAUAUAAAAAAAGAAAACUCUGUUCCGCAGAGUAGCUGUUGACAUUAUAGUUGCGCAGGCACUUUGUUGAUUUUAGAGAACCUUGGGCCAAUCGCACAUCCCCGUGGCAGUGACUUUGCAUGCGGAUAUCAACUUUCGAUGCCAGUUUCUGCGCCUACCAUGGUGACCAUGGUGAAUCAGGGUUACAUUCCAUACAGGGACCCUGAGAAAUGGCUACCAUAUGCAAGGAAGGCAGCAGGCAUGCAAAUGACCCACUCCCGACGCAGGAAAAUAGUGAUGACAAAUAACAAUACAGGACUCUUUAGAGGCCCUGUAAUUGUAAUGAGUCCACUUGAAAUCCUUUAACUCUGAUCAAUUGGAAGGAAGUCUGGUGCAGAGCCACUGACCCGUGCGUGCUGCAGCUGAAACUUCACUAUCGCCU
RNAcentral lists this ribosomal RNA (539 nucleotides) under Pelobates cultripes (western spadefoot toad). Its description in RNAcentral is "SSU_rRNA_eukarya". It matches the Rfam family "Eukaryotic small subunit ribosomal RNA", at positions 103 to 586 of the family's 1831-position model. Lineage: Eukaryota; Metazoa; Chordata; Amphibia; Anura; Pelobatidae. The record is from RNAcentral.